Molecule: long non-coding RNA, 1989 nt
Filed under: Chinchilla lanigera (long-tailed chinchilla)
Lineage: Eukaryota; Metazoa; Chordata; Mammalia; Rodentia; Chinchillidae
Description: lncRNA (ENSCLAG00000022889.1)
Source: RNAcentral
GCUGAAUGGAGAACUCUACCUUGUAAUAUGUGCAGGGAACAAUACAUACAUUUUGUGUCUAUGAGAAUAAAAAUAGCUAUGAUGGUGAUACUAUUUUAUAUCCAAGGCCUAAAGAUGCUACAUGUGAAUACACAGAAAAAUGUAGGUGAAAUAAAUGAAUGCCCACCUCUGCUAUGCAUUUUUACAUGAAUUAGGUAAGUAUGAAAAUAUGAAAACAGGAAUUUGCUCCUAUGAAAAGGAGCAAGGAACUUGCUUUUCCUGUGUCCUCUGCCUAAUGUAGUUUUCAGCCCAUUUAAUUCAGUGGAGACCAAGCACCUCCACAGAACCAGCCCAGCCCCUCUGUGACAUGGAGGCUGCAGCUCAAGCUGAGUUCUUUACAGAAUAUAACCCUGGGGUUAAUAUCCACAGAUUUCUUUACCUACAGACACCCAGCCUCUUACUUUCCACAUUCUAAAUCAAACAGAUCACCACAGGUGAGAUUAAUAACCAGGAGACUACCAUCUCAGUAACUCAGUAUGAUUAAACUUCUGACUGUGAGGGCUAUUUUAAGAGCAGGAAUCUCUAUUUAUCUGGACAGGCUGAUUCUAUAAAUAAUCUGCAAUUUCUGGAAAUGGCAAAUAUUGGAUUUAAUCAGUCUUUGAUAUUCUCUUUUUAGCUAACUGUAAGGUAAAAUUCACCCUUUCCAACAGUUUGUAAAUUUCCUUUACAUCCUCAUCCUGAGUUUCUAAUGACCCAGUCUUCCUCCCCAUAAAAGUGGGAGCACAUUCCUAAAUUUCUUCCUUUUUUUUUUUUUUUUUGUUUGUUUUGUUGUUUUUCUUCCAGAACCAGGAAUUGAACUCACAACCUUGCGCUUGCCAGGCAGACACUGUGCUGCUGAGCUAAAUCCCCAGCCCUCUAAAUUUCUUCCUGAUACAUGGCUUUUACCAUAGUACAUGAGGUCCAUAUCAUAUACUGUAUGUUUAGACUGUGGGGAAACUCUUAGUACAAUAUGAGGGCAUCAGGCAUGGAACCAUUGCACUUUUUUCAGUGAAUAUGAAGAUAUAUUUUUUCAGUUUGUGCUUAUAAUAUAUUUAUCAGGGUCCUUAAUUGCUGACACUUGGUUUAAGUGUAAUUCAUCCAAGAAAGAAUUGGAACAUGGAAAGAUAUAUUUGUAUUCCUACCAUCUAACAAGGAGGAAAGAAAAAGCAAAAAAGCUAAUUUCCUUUUGCAAUGUCAGAGUCCAAUGAAUUUAUUUGAAAAUCUUUUCUCUUUCAGUGUGUUUUGUUCAAACUCACCUGCCUGAAUUGCACCUAUGCUUAUUGGAUACACCAAUGAAGUAGUUUAUGAAGACUAACCAUCUGUGCCUUUUUCUUCCUCAAAUGCAUGAAACCAUAAUCCGUAUAUAUAAAUUCAUAAUCCAUGUGUACUUAUUAUACCUCUAUUUAGGUAGUGAUUUUUCCAGUGCAAUUAAACUAUGAGCUAAGGAGAUGUUUGCAAUUUUAGAUUGCAUCAUAAAUACUCAGGCCCUUAUAGCUAUACACCUGAGGAGAAAUUGGGCCUCGUUUGUAUUAUGAAACACCUUAAAAUAAAGCUGGAAGAGUAACACAAAGCCACAAAUCUUUUCCCCUAAUUUAUCCAAACAUACACUAUCAUAACUCAGCAAUAUGGAAGAGUUUUAUAUAUUCAAAAAUGUCCUAUGUGGUGAGAACUUACUUUCUAAAAUAACAAAACAAAAUAAAAAAGAAACUGAGUAGAUUUUAAGACAUUUGUAGCCUUUAUUACCUGAAGAUACAUUUGAUUUCUCAGUAUUCAAAUUCAGAAUCUAAUAGAUUUGGUUAGUGAAAAACACUUGUACUUUCAUAUUGGCUUUGUUGCCUCUUAAACUGGGUUGAUAUGGAAAUGAGCUGGGAAGAAUUAUUUGUGUUUCACAGGAUGUGUUUGUACUAAGUGCCAAGUUCUACAGCAAAGCUGCAAAUUCAGGUAGGGUAUUGCUGACCCUAACGAUUAACA